AAGUCUUCUAAGUCUUUGUGAUGCAUUCGUAGGUGUGUGAGUGUGAGCGUGGAUGUGAGAGAGGUGCAAGAACUAGUUGAAGACAGUAGUAGGCAGCUCUCCUCUGGCAGGUGCAUUCUAGGUGAUUUUGUAAUUGUAUAUGCAUCCAAGGUAUAUACAGUCCGGCCAUGGUGCUACAUUGCAAUCAUCCAUAUGUGAUUGCAUUGUGUAUAUAUAUACAUGGUGGCCUUUGAUAGACCAUCAUAUAUCGGUUGGUUAUGUGCAUGUAUGUAUAUACCAGCUGCUACUAGCUUUGAUCGAUCGCCAUGUAGCGAUUGAAUUCACCAAAACGGCCUGCCAAAGGAGAGUUGCCCUGCGACUGUCUUUAACUCGAAUAAUUUAGAUAGUGUUUUGUUUAGGAGUUUAGCCCCUGCCGGUUCAUAUUGAUCUCCAAGUCCAAGGUACGUUUGAUUUUGUCAGAAUGGA
This 465-nucleotide non-coding RNA is filed under the name Oryza rufipogon (brownbeard rice). The record is from RNAcentral. Lineage: Eukaryota; Viridiplantae; Streptophyta; Magnoliopsida; Poales; Poaceae.